RNAcentral lists this ribosomal RNA (540 nucleotides) under uncultured bacterium. Its description in RNAcentral is "partial 16S ribosomal RNA". It matches the Rfam family "Bacterial small subunit ribosomal RNA", at positions 355 to 888 of the family's 1533-position model. The record is from RNAcentral.
UGGGGAAUUUUGGACAAUGGGCGAAAGCCUGAUCCAGCAAUGCCGCGUGUGUGAAGAAGGCCUUCGGGUUGUAAAGCACUUUUGUCCGGAAAGAAAUCCUUGGCUCUAAUACAGUCGGGGGAUGACGGUACCGGAAGAAUAAGCACCGGCUAACUACGUGCCAGCAGCCGCGGUAAUACGUAGGGUGCAAGCGUUAAUCGGAAUUACUGGGCGUAAAGCGUGCGCAGGCGGUUUGCUAAGACCGAUGUGAAAUCCCCGGGCUCAACCUGGGAACUGCAUUGGUGACUGGCAGGCUAGAGUAUGGCAGAGGGGGGUAGAAUUCCACGUGUAGCAGUGAAAUGCGUAGAGAUGUGAGGAAUACCGAUGGCGAAGGCAGCCCCCUGGGCCAAUACUGACGCUCAUGCACGAAAGCGUGGGGAGCAAAACAGGAUUAGAUACCCUGGUAGUCCACGCCCUAAACGAUGUCAACUAGUUGUUGGGGAUUCAUUUCCUUAGUAACGUAGCUAACGCGUGAAGUUGACCGCCUGGGGAGUACGGUCG